AGCGAACGCUGGCGGCAGGCCUAACACAUGCCAGUCGAACGAACCUUUCGGGGUUAGUGGCGGACGGGUGAGUAACACGUGGGAACGUGCCUUUAGGUUCGGAAUAACUCAGGGAAACUUGUGCUAAUACCGAAUGUGCCCUUCGGGGGCAAGAUUUAUCGCCUUUAGAGGGGCCCGCGUCUGAUUAGCUAGUUGGUUGAGGUAAUGGCUCACCAAGGCGACGAUCAGUAGCUGGUCUGAGAGGAUGAUCAGCCACAUUGGGACUGAGACACGGCCCAAACUCCUACGGGAGGCAGCAGUGGGGAAUCUUGCGCAAUGGGCGAAAGCCUGACGCAGCCAUGCCGCGUGAAUGAUGAAGGUCUUAGGAUUGUAAAAUUCUUUCACCGGGGACGAUAAUGACGGUACCCGGAGAAGAAGCCCCGGCUAACUUCGUG
RNAcentral lists this ribosomal RNA (434 nucleotides) under uncultured bacterium. Its description in RNAcentral is "partial 16S ribosomal RNA". It matches the Rfam family "Bacterial small subunit ribosomal RNA", at positions 29 to 507 of the family's 1533-position model. The record is from RNAcentral.